Salvelinus namaycush (lake trout) is the source of this 1254-nucleotide long non-coding RNA. RefSeq lists it as uncharacterized. The transcript has 3 exons. NCBI's taxonomy places the organism in Eukaryota, Metazoa, Chordata, Actinopteri, Salmoniformes, Salmonidae. The record is from RefSeq and is a predicted model, not a curated record.
ACCGCAGUUCCUACUAAUACGACAACCGCAGCUCCUACUACUACAACAACCGCAGCUCCUACUACUACCACAACCGCAGCUCCUACUACUACCACAACCGCAGCUUCUACUACUACGACAACCGCAGCUCCUACUACUACGACAACCGCAGCUCCUACUACUACGACAUCCGCAGCUCCUCCUACUAUGACAUCCGCAGCUCCUAUUUUGACAACCUCAGCUGCUACUACGACAACCGCAGCUCCUACUACUACGACAACCGCAGCUCCUACUACGACAACCGCAGCUCCUACUACGACAACCACAGCUCUUACUACGACAACCGCAGCUCCUACUACGACAACCGCAGCUCUUACUACGACAACCGCAGCUCCUACUCCGACAACCAAAGCUCUUACAACCACAGCUCCUACUACGACAACCGCAGCUCCUACUACGACAACCGCAGCUCCUACUACGACAACCGCAGCUCCUUCUACGACAACCGCAGUUCCUACAAGAGCCACAACUGCUGCUCCUAAUAUGACAACAACCGUUCAUAACACAACAGAGACAGCUCUUGCUACGGCAAAAGCACUUCUAAAUACGACAAUUAGUGUUCCUACAGCAACAACCGCAGCUCCUACAGCAACAACCGCAGCUCCUAAUACAGCAACCACAGCUCCUAAUACAGCAACCACAGCUCCUAAUACAGCAACUACAGCUCCUAAUACAACAACAACACAAACGAGCACUACAACUCCACCUGCCGGACAGUCAACCACGAAUAGUGGGCUUAGAUAUAAGUUGGUACUGAGGGUGAAAUUGGACAUGACGACAGACCUAACCGAAUCUGAGAUCUUGAAACCGCUUCGUGCAGAACUGAUCAGACUAGGGCUGCCAGAGACCUUUACACUGCGAUUGAGAUUCAUUCAGAGCUAGUUGACCGGGGGAAGAGGAGGACGACACUGGAGAUAAAACACAAACAGAUUACAAUGCAAACCUGAUCACAAAGAUAAUUUACACACAUAUCUUACAAUAGAUUGUCCUCAGUAUUACAUUAUUCCCACAUGACCUACGGUAACUGGACCUAAUGUAUUCGCAACUAAAUAUCUACAGUGCCUUCAGAAAAUUCACACCCCUUGACUUUUCCCACAUUUUGUUGUUUUACAAAGUGGGAUUAAAAUGUAUGUAAAUGUAUUUUUUCGUCAACGAUCUACACUAAAUAUAGUUGAAGAAAAUGUAUAAUAUUGUAAAAAAUGUAAUCAUGAACAA